RNAcentral lists this non-coding RNA (23 nucleotides) under Cricetulus griseus (Chinese hamster). The record is from RNAcentral. Lineage: Eukaryota; Metazoa; Chordata; Mammalia; Rodentia; Cricetidae.
UCAAUUAAGCCUUUUUCUCCCCA